Molecule: transfer RNA, 71 nt
Filed under: Marmota monax (woodchuck)
Lineage: Eukaryota; Metazoa; Chordata; Mammalia; Rodentia; Sciuridae
Rfam family: tRNA
About the family: Transfer RNA (tRNA) molecules are approximately 80 nucleotides in length.
Source: Rfam by way of RNAcentral
GUGGUUGUGGCUCAGUAGUAGAGCGCUCACCCAGCAUGUGUGAGGCACUGGGUUCAAUCCUUAGCUCCACA